RNAcentral lists this ribosomal RNA (468 nucleotides) under uncultured bacterium. RNAcentral's name for it is "partial 16S ribosomal RNA". It matches the Rfam family "Bacterial small subunit ribosomal RNA", at positions 28 to 507 of the family's 1533-position model. The record is from RNAcentral.
GACGAACGCUGGCGGCGUGCUUAACACAUGCAAGUCGAACGGAAAGGCCCUGCUUUUGUGGGGUGCUCGAGUGGCGAACGGGUGAGUAACACGUGAGUAACCUGCCCUUGACUUUGGGAUAACUUCAGGAAACUGGGGCUAAUACCGGAUAGGAGCUCCUGCUGCAUGGUGGGGGUGGGAAAGUUUCGGUGGUUGGGGAUGGACUCGCGGCUUAUCGGAUUGUUGGUGGGGUAGUGGCUUACCAAGGCUUGGACGGGUAGCCGGCCUGAGAGGGUGACCGGCUCCAUUGGGCCUGAGAUACGGCACAGCCUCCUACGGGAGGCAGCAGUGGGGAAUAUUGCACAAUGGGCGGAGGCCUGAUGCAGCAACGCCGCGUGCGGGAUGACGGCCUUCGGGUUGUAAACCGAUUUCGCCUGUGACGAAGCGUGAGUGACGGUAAUGGGUAAAGAAGCACCGGCUAACUACGUG